This 222-nucleotide ribosomal RNA is filed under the name uncultured bacterium. RNAcentral's name for it is "partial 16S ribosomal RNA". It matches the Rfam family "Bacterial small subunit ribosomal RNA", at positions 111 to 334 of the family's 1533-position model. The record is from RNAcentral.
UAAUGCAUCGGAACGUAUCCCGUAGUGGGGGAUAACCCGGCGAAAGCCGGGCUAAUACCGCAUAUGCUCUACGGAGGAAAGCGGGGGACCUGUAAGGGCCUCGCGCUAUGGGAGCGGCCGAUGUCCGAUUAGCUAGUUGGUGGGGUAAAGGCUUACCAAGGCAUCGAUCGGUAGCUGGUCUGAGAGGAUGAUCAGCCACACUGGGACUGAGACACAGCCCAG